This 480-nucleotide ribosomal RNA is filed under the name uncultured eukaryote. RNAcentral describes it as "bacterial SSU rRNA". It matches the Rfam family "Eukaryotic small subunit ribosomal RNA", at positions 485 to 866 of the family's 1831-position model. The record is from RNAcentral.
GCUGAAGUAUAUACUUUGGUAAUUGGAAUGAGAACAAUUUAAACCCCUUAACGAGUAACCAUCAGAGGGCAAGUCUGGUGCCAGCAGCCGCGGUAAUUCCAGCUCUGAUAGCGUAUAUUAAAGUUGUUGCAGUUAAAAAGCUCGUAGUUGGAUUUUAGAGUAUAUUGAUAUGGUCUCUUGUGAUAAACUUGUUGUACUGUAUUAAUUACUCUUUCCUACUGGUUACUCGACUCUGUUCUUUAUUGCAUGGAGUAGUGUCGCAAGGCAUCGCUUAGUAUUUUAUUGCUUUUAGAUGUAGUAAUUGGGUAAAACUGGUUACGAAACCUAAGGGAUCACAGUAAGGUAUUAAGUGGGGUUCCAGUUCAUUUACUUUGAGUAAAUUAGAGUGUUCAAAGCAGCCUGUAUGGGCAUUGAAUAGAUUAGCAUGGGAUAAUAGAAUAGGAUUCUUAUCUAUUUAUUGGUUUAUAGACUUAGAAUAAU